This 298-nucleotide ribosomal RNA is filed under the name uncultured bacterium. RNAcentral's name for it is "partial 16S ribosomal RNA". It matches the Rfam family "Bacterial small subunit ribosomal RNA", at positions 640 to 926 of the family's 1533-position model. The record is from RNAcentral.
ACUUGAGUACAGAAGAGGAGAGUGGAAUUCCAUGUGUAGCGGUGAAAUGCGCAGAGAUAUGGAGGAACACCAGUGGCGAAGGCGGCUCUCUCGUCUGUUACUGACGCUGAGGUGACGAAAGCGGUGGGGAUACAAACAGGAUUAGACUACCCCAGUAGUCCUAGACCGUAAACGAUGGAUACUAGGUGUUGUCUGUAUCCGACCCGGACAGUGCCGUAGACUAACGACGUUAAGUACUCCCGCCUGGGGAGUACGCACGCAAGUGUGAAACUCAAAGGAAUUGACGGUCGACGCGGCC